Molecule: ribosomal RNA, 254 nt
Filed under: uncultured bacterium
Lineage: Bacteria
Description: partial 16S ribosomal RNA
Rfam family: Bacterial small subunit ribosomal RNA
Source: RNAcentral
UACGUAGGGUGCAAGCGUUAAUCGGAAUUACUGGGCGUAAAGCGUGCGCAGGCGGUUUUGUAAGUCUGACGUGAAAUCCCCGGGCUCAACCUGGGAAUUGCGUUGGAGACUGCAAGGCUGGAGUCUGGCAGAGGGGGGGUGGAAUUCCACGUGUAGCAGUGAAAUGCGUAGAGAUGUGGAGGAACACCGAUGGCGAAGGCAGCCCCCUGGGCUAAGAUUGACGCUCAGGCACGAAAGCGUGGGGAGCAAACAGG